UACGUAGGGGGCAAGCGUUGUCCGGAAUCAUUGGGCGUAAAGCGCGUGUAGGCGGCUCGGUAAGUCCGCUCUGAAAGUCCAGGGCUCAACCCUGGGAUGCGGGUGGAUACUGCCGAGCUCGAGUCCGGAAGAGGCGAGUGGAAUUCCUGGUGUAGCGGUGAAAUGCGUAGAUAUCUGGAGGAACACCGGUGGCGAAGGCGGCAUCCUGGACCGGCAUUGACGCUGAGGAGCGAAAGCGUGGGGAGCAAUCCGG
RNAcentral lists this ribosomal RNA (253 nucleotides) under uncultured bacterium. Its description in RNAcentral is "partial 16S ribosomal RNA". It matches the Rfam family "Bacterial small subunit ribosomal RNA", at positions 524 to 776 of the family's 1533-position model. The record is from RNAcentral.